CCCCACCCACCUUGUUUUUCUAUUUUAAAAUAAUGCUACAAUGCACAUCCUAGCAGUAGAACUGCUGGCCAAAUGAGAUAUGAAGAGACACGUCUG
Molecule: non-coding RNA, 96 nt
Organism: Vicugna pacos (alpaca)
Lineage: Eukaryota; Metazoa; Chordata; Mammalia; Artiodactyla; Camelidae
Source: RefSeq, a predicted model, not a curated record